UGCCUUGAGGUGGGGGACAACAGUUGGAAACGACUGCUAAUACCGCAUAAUGUCUACGGACCAAAGGGGGCUUCGGCUCUCGCCUUUAGAUUGGCCCAAGUGGGAUUAGCUAGUUGGUGAGGUAAUGGCUCACCAAGGCGACGAUCCCUAGCUGGUUUGAGAGGAUGAUCAGCCACACUGGGACUGAGACACGGCCCAGACUCCUACGGGAGGCAGCAGUGGGGAAUAUUGCACAAUGGGCGCAAGCCUGAUGCAGCCAUGCCGCGUGUGUGAAGAAGGCCUUCGGGUUGUAAAGCACUUUCAGUCAGGAGGAAAGGUUAGUAGUUAAUACCUGCUAGCUGUGACGUUACUGACAGAAGAAGCACCGGCUAACUCCGUGCCAGCAGCCGCGGUAAUACGGAGGGUGCGAGCGUUAAUCGGAAUUACUGGGCGUAAAGCGUACGCAGGCGGNUUGUUAAGCGAGAUGUGAAAGCCCCGGGCUCAACCUGGGAACUGCAUUUCGAACUGGCAAACUAGAGUGUGAUAGAGG
This 529-nucleotide ribosomal RNA is filed under the name uncultured bacterium. RNAcentral describes it as "bacterial SSU rRNA". It matches the Rfam family "Bacterial small subunit ribosomal RNA", at positions 127 to 657 of the family's 1533-position model. The record is from RNAcentral.